AUUGAACGCUGGCGGCAGGCCUAACACAUGCAAGUCGAGCGGUAGAGAGAAGCUUGCUUCUCUUGAGAGCGGCGGACGGGUGAGUAAAGCCUAGGAAUCUGCCUGGUAGUGGGGGAUAACGUUCGGAAACGGACGCUAAUACCGCAUACGUCCUACGGGAGAAAGCAGGGGAGCUUCGGGCCUUGCGCUAUCAGAUGAGCCUGGGUCGGAUUAGCUAGUUGGGGAGGUAAUGGCUCACCAAGGGGACGAUCCGUAACUGGUCUGAGAGGAUGAUCAGUCACACUGGAACUGAGACACGGUCUAGACUCCUACGGGAGGCAGCAGUGGGGAAUAUUGGACAAUGGGCGAAAGCCUGAUCCAGCCAUGCCGCGUGUGUGAAGAAGGUCUUCGGAUUGUAAAGCACUUUAAGUUGGGAGGAAGGGCAUUAACCUAAUACGUUAGUGUUUUGACGUUACCGACAGAAUAAGCACCGGCUAACUCUGUGCCAGCCGCCGCCGUAA
Molecule: ribosomal RNA, 500 nt
Filed under: uncultured bacterium
Lineage: Bacteria
Description: partial 16S ribosomal RNA
Rfam family: Bacterial small subunit ribosomal RNA
Source: RNAcentral